GAUGAACGCUGGCGGCGUGCCUAAUACAUGCAAGUCGAGCGAACAGAUGAGAAGCUUGCUUCUCUGAUGUUAGCGGCGGACGGGUGAGUAACACGUGGGUAACCUACCUAUAAGACUGGGAUAACUCCGGGAAACCGGGGCUAAUACCGGAUAAUAUUUUGAACCGCAUGGUUCAAUAGUGAAAGACGGUUUCGGCUGUCACUUAUAGAUGGACCCGCGCCGUAUUAGCUAGUUGGUAAGGUAACGGCUUACCAAGGCGACGAUACGUAGCCGACCUGAGAGGGUGAUCGGCCAGACUGGAACUGAGACACGGGCCAGACUCCUACGGGAGGCAGCAGUAGGGAAUCUUCCGCAAUGGGCGAAAGCCUGACGGAGCAACGCCGCGUGAGUGAUGAAGGUCUUCGGAUUGUAAAACUCUGUUGUUAGGGAAGAACAAAUUUGUUAGUAACUGAACAAGUCUUGACGGUACCUAACCAGAAAGCCACGGCUAACUACGUGCCAGCAGCCGCCGUAA
Molecule: ribosomal RNA, 514 nt
Filed under: uncultured bacterium
Lineage: Bacteria
Description: partial 16S ribosomal RNA
Rfam family: Bacterial small subunit ribosomal RNA
Source: RNAcentral